GCAUAUCAAUAAGCGGAGGAAAAGAAACCAACAGGGAUUGCCCUAGUAACGGCGAGUGAAGCGGCAACAGCUCAAAUUUGAAAUCUGGCUCUCGGGCCCGAGUUGUAAUUUGUAGAGGAUGCUUUUGAUGCGGUGCCUUCCGAGUUCCCUGGAACGGGACGCCAUAGAGGGUGAGAGCCCCGUCUGGUUGGAUACCAAAUCUCUGUAAAGCUCCUUCGACGAGUCGAGUAGUUUGGGAAUGCUGCUCUAAAUGGGAGGUAUAUGUCUUCUAAAGCUAAAUACUGGCCAGAGACCGAUAGCGCACAAGUAGAGUGAUCGAAAGAUGAAAAGCACUUUGAAAAGAGAGUUAAAAAGUACGUGAAAUUGUUGAAAGGGAAGCGUUUAUGACCAGACUUGGGCUUGGAUAAUCAUCUGGGGUUCUCCCCAGUGCACUUUUCCAGUCCAGGCCAGCAUCAGUUUUCGCCGGGGGAUAAAGGCUUCGGGAAUGUGGCUCCCUCCGGGGAGUGUUAUAGCCCGUUGCGUAAUACCCUGGCGGGGACUGAGGUUCGCGCAUCUGCAAGGAUGCUGGCGUAAUGGUCAUCAACGACCCGUCUUGAAACACGGACCAAGGAGUCGUCUUCGUAUGCGAGUGUUCGGGUGUCAAACCCCUACGCGUAAUGAAAGUGAACGCAGGUGAGAGCUUCGGCGCAUCAUCGACCGAUCCUGAUGUUCUCGGAUGGAUUUGAGUAAGAGCAUACGGGGCCGGACCCGAAAGAAGGUGAACUAUGCCUGUGUAGGGUGAAGCCAGAGGAAACUCUGGUGGAGGCUCGCAGCGGUUCUGACGUGCAAAUCGAUCGUCAAACAUGGGCAUGGGGGCGAAAGACUAAUCGAACCUUCUAGUAGCUGGUUUCCGCCGAA
Molecule: ribosomal RNA, 897 nt
Filed under: Fusarium equiseti
Lineage: Eukaryota; Fungi; Ascomycota; Sordariomycetes; Hypocreales; Nectriaceae
Description: LSU rRNA
Rfam family: Eukaryotic large subunit ribosomal RNA
Source: RNAcentral